GAUGAAGAACGCAGCGAAAUGCGAUACGUAAUGUGAAUUGCAGAAUUCAGUGAAUCAUCGAGUCUUUGAACGCACAUUGCGCCCUCUGGUAUUCCGGGGGGCAUGCCUGUUCGAGCGUCAUUAUAACCACUCAAGCUUUCGCUUGGUAUUGGGGCUCGCGGUUCCGCGGCCCCUAAAAUCAGUGGCGGUGCCUGUCGGCUCUACGCGUAGUAAUACUCCUCGCGAUUGAGUCCGGUAGGUCUACUUGCCAGCAACCCCCAAUUUUUACAGGUUGACCUCGGAUCAGGUAGGGAUACCCGCUGAACUUAAGCAUAUCAAUAAGCGGAGGA
This 329-nucleotide unclassified non-coding RNA is filed under the name soil metagenome. Its description in RNAcentral is "partial contains 5.8S ribosomal RNA, internal transcribed spacer 2, and large subunit ribosomal RNA". The stretch from base 1 to 120 matches the Rfam family "5.8S ribosomal RNA", at positions 35 to 154 of the family's 154-position model. The record is from RNAcentral.